RNAcentral lists this ribosomal RNA (250 nucleotides) under uncultured bacterium. RNAcentral describes it as "partial 16S ribosomal RNA". It matches the Rfam family "Bacterial small subunit ribosomal RNA", at positions 355 to 597 of the family's 1533-position model. The record is from RNAcentral.
UAGGGAAUAUUGGACAAUGGGCGCAAGCCUGAUCCAGCCAUGCCGCGUGUGUGAAGAAGGCCUUCGGGUUGUAAAGCACUUUUAUCCGGAAAGAAAAGCGCUGGGUUAAUACCCUGGUGUCCUGACGGUACCGGAAGAAUAAGCACCGGCUAACUUCGUGCCAGCAGCCGCGGUAAUACGAAGGGUGCAAGCGUUACUCGGAAUUACUGGGCGUAAAGCGUGCGUAGGUGGUUUGUUAAGUCUGAUGUGA